RNAcentral lists this long non-coding RNA (241 nucleotides) under Capsella rubella. RNAcentral describes it as "long non-coding RNA (CRUB_LNC000531)". Lineage: Eukaryota; Viridiplantae; Streptophyta; Magnoliopsida; Brassicales; Brassicaceae. The record is from RNAcentral.
CCGGAUUAUAUCAAAUAAAGCUUUAAAUUUGGAUGUCUAAUAAAUCAAGCUUAGUGCUCACCCAUGGACAACCCAUAAAAAAUGGUCGUUAAUGGACAUGGUCAACUAUUUUUCCAUAAGCAAAUGGACAAUGUUGAACGGAUCAAAAUAAAUGUAGACAAUCCAUUUAGACAGCUCUAAGUACCUAUAUCUUUUUCGACACUCAAAGGCAAGAUCAAGUGUAAUAUACUUGAAAUAAAAC